CGGUGUUUAACUGGCGUGAUGUGGGACGUCCUACCGGUGGGCUUAGCCUCGCGAGGGGCGGCCCAACUAAUAUCCCGUCGCGGUGCUCUUUACUGAGUGUCGAGUCGGGCCGGUACGUUUACUUUGAACAAAUUAGAGUGCUUAAAGCAGGCUAUCCUCGCCUGAAUACUGCGUGCAUGGAAUAAUGGAAUAGGACCUCGGUUCUAUUUUGUUGGUUUUCGGAACCCCGAGGUAAUGAUUAAUAGGGACAGAUGGGGGCAUUCGUAUUGCGACGUUAGAGGUGAAAUUCUUGGAUCGUCGCAAGACGGACAGAAGCGAAAGCAUUUGCCAAAAAUGUUUUCAUUAAUCAAGAACGAAAGUUAGAGGUUCGAAGGCGAUCAGAUACCGCCCUAGUUCUAACCAUAAACGAUGCCAGCUAGCGAUCCGCCGAAGUUCCUCCGAUGACUCGGCGGGCAGCUUCCGGGAAACCAAAGCUUUUGGGUUCCGGGGGGAAGUAUGGUUGCAAAGCUGAAACUUAAAGGAAUUGACGGAAGGGCACCACCAGGAGUGGAGCCUGCGGCUUAAUUUGACUCAACACGGGAAACCUCACCAGGCCCAGACACCGGAAGGAUUGACAGAUUGAUAGCUCUUUCUUGAUUCGGUGGGUGGUGGUGCAUGGCCGUUCUUAGUUGGUGGAGCGAUUUGUCUGGUUAAUUCCGAUAACGAACGAGACUCUAGCCUGCUAAAUAGGCGUACCUUAUGGUAUCGCGAAGGCCCCCGGCUUCGGCCGGUGGGUUUUUACUACCAACGUACAAACAAAUCUUCUUAGAGGGACAGGCGG
This 820-nucleotide ribosomal RNA is filed under the name uncultured eukaryote. RNAcentral describes it as "SSU rRNA". It matches the Rfam family "Eukaryotic small subunit ribosomal RNA", at positions 629 to 1426 of the family's 1831-position model. The record is from RNAcentral.